AUGUAUCUUAGGAUUCAAGGAAAGACUGAGGACAUAAGUGCAAGGUAACUAGGUUUUCUCUCGGGAACCCAAGAUGAAAUAAAAGAAGGAAAAAUCGUGCGGGCAAAACUAAAGUUAUUUGGCGUCAUUCCAAUUUGAAUAAAUGUAUUAACUAGAAACGAUGGAUUGUAACGAACAAUGUGUUGUGUAAUAAUAUAUAUGUUAGUAUGUUU
This 212-nucleotide long non-coding RNA is filed under the name Helianthus annuus (common sunflower). RNAcentral describes it as "hypothetical non coding rna". Lineage: Eukaryota; Viridiplantae; Streptophyta; Magnoliopsida; Asterales; Asteraceae. The record is from RNAcentral.